UUGCUGUAGUCGUUGUGUUUUAUUUUUUGUAUUGUUGCGUGUCUCUCUUUUACCAUUUUUUAAGCUUUUAGUUUCGCUCCAGGAAACUUUUUACUUAGGAUCCACAUAAGUUGAGUAUUCUUCUUUCCCAUCUUUUUUUCCUUUCGCAAAUUCUCACCCACCCAUUUCCAUCCAACCGCCUCCAGCCUCCUCCUCUUUUCACCCACUUCAUUGUUAUUUAUUUAACAUUUCACACAUUUUCUUUUUUUAAUUUUUAUUUUCCCGCAACGAACAAUCGUAAAAUUGGAUUUUGUGUUUUUUUUUUCUUCUUAUUCUUCUUUGAACAUUUUGUUAUUGUCGCAGGUAGAUAGUAACAAUUUGUCGAAUUAUGUUGCAACCUUUUCCCCCUUCAACAACCUUCCCAUCCCCCUACUUCAUCGAAGAAUAUCUAUGAUCUAAAGUUUCGAAUCGUUAUCACGGUUUCCUCCUCUAACAGGGGUGGUGUUUGAUCUUUUUUAAAGUGCAGAAUUAGUAUCGUCGUGACGAUAAUUCUCGGAAAAUUCCAUGGGAAAAAUUCUCGUAAUCCGAUUGUGUGUGUGUGUGUGUCUAACAGUACGCUACACAAUUAAUCGAUAUAAGAUAGUACAAAUAAUUUUCUUAGAUAUUUGUUUAUAUAUAUAAAACAAAGUGAGAGAGAGAGAGAGAAAAACAAUAUUCGAUGGGUAAGUUUGUUGCGUCAUGGUUGUUGCCGGCGAAGCUUUGUAUUUUUUUUCCCCCCUGUCCCAUGAAUUUCGUAUUUUUUUUCGAUGCUCGAGGAGAGAAAAAAAGAAAAUCCAGAUCGAGGGGUGGAGGGGGAGUGGUACGAACUAUUUCACAAGGCAAGGAUUUGUUCACAACUUAUUAUGUGUACCUCGUGUUUCUCUCAGUGUAUGUUUACAUUCUGUCUGUCAAGAAUAUUUAUUUCCUUUAUAUCGGAACAUUCGAAUAAAUAUGUUUUUCUUUUCUUUUUUUUUUUUUUUUUUUUUUUUUUAAUUCCCAAAACGAAAAUUGAUUUCUCUCAACAACAAUCGUGUGUCUCCAACAAAUCGUAUUCGUUAGAUAUUACACAAAUCGUGUAAAAAAAAUUUGUUCAUAACGUUUGUUCAGUGUAUUUUAGUAGGGAUAUUCUCAAAGAAUUUCGAUUACGUUUAAUAACAUUUUUCUAACAUUGCGAUACACAUUUUUUCUUCUUUUUUUUGUGGGGGUUCGUGGGGGAGAGGGGGUUCUUAUUGCAGCAUUUAUAUCCGUCUCGUUUAAUUAAUUUCUUUUUCUAACUUGAGAUUCUCUUUCAUUAUAUUAUUUCCCUCCCCCACCCUUUUUUUUUUCUUUCUAUUAUUAUCCUUUAUCAAAUCGAGGUAUUUCUAAAGUUCAAAUAAGGGGAAAAAUUGAUCCACGAUUGUCGAUAACGAUUUUGAUAGUUAGUAUUCGAAUAUGUUCCCGCGUUUAAUUAGAAAUAAUUAUAUUUUAUGUUAUCGUUUUUAAUUACUAUGUAUUCACAUAAGUUGAUAAUUUCAGAUAUACUUUGAUUAUCUUUUUGAUUAAGGAUACGAGGUAAGUUUAUUGAUAUUCGACGAACAAAUCAUUUCAUAUGUCUCUAUUAUUCUUUUAGGAAACACUUCAUCCAGGUGGCAUGUUUUUUAUCGAAUGACGAUCGAGACAACGUUCCGCAUAAAAGGUAAAUAUAUGUAUAAUAUAUGUGUUAUGUGACUUUUCUUAUAUCACUUAUAUCUAAUAGCUAAAAAAACAAAACAUCAAACACGGAAAAUGCAUACAAAUUAUAUGUAUAUAUAUAUAAAAAAAAGUAAGAAACUAUAAUCCAUCACAAGUAAUUAGAAAUAAAUAAAAAAUAGGAGUGUACAACACGUAUAUGUGACACGUAAAUGGGAUAAUUUUUUUCUCGUGAUUUCAAGCUUACAAAAAACUUAAAAAAAAAAAAAAAAAAAAAAAACAAGUGCAACAUAAUAAUCUUUCGCACGUUGCCUUAUAUAUGUGUAUAUAAGUAAAUGUUUAUAUGUUUUAUUAUAUACUUGUAAUCUAUAUCAGUGUAGGUUUAAUCAUAAUUGAAAUAAAGAUAUCAUAAUUAUUAAAUAUCGCAAAAGCCUUAAGGCUCUCGAUGUUGUUUAAUGAGUGUAUAAUUAAUUAUUAUAAUUAGAUAUAUUUAUGCGAAUAUCACUUAUGGUAUAUGCUCGCGAGAUAUAUUAUCACGUAAUUCUCGACUUAUUCUUCGCGUGUUUUAAUUCUAUAUAAUAAUUAUCAUUUUACUAUAUUAUUAUACUUUUAUUUUUCUCCCCGUUUCCCCCUUCUUUUUUUUUUCUUUUCUAUUUUUUUCGUGAAAAUGUUCAUGAAAAAAGACGUAUCGGAAUAUGAAUUGUUUAAUUAUACAUGAAUAUAUGACACAUCGUAACUAUAAUGCAUUAUAUCAUCUCAUAUAGUGGUCUCUUAUUUCACAUUAGUUUGCGAAAUAUUUUUCUUUUUUUUUUUUUACAAAUUAUGUAUCCGAAAAAUUUGUGCGCUAACCAAUUCGACGGUAAAUUAUUUCCCCCCCCCCCCCCUAUAAAUCUUUAUUAUCCAUUUACUAUUUCUUUUCUUCGUGAUGUUUAUCGUUAAAAUUUUUAAACAUGGAAAAAUGCGUUUAUAUUUCAUAGAAAUUUUCCUUUCAUCUUUUUUUACAUUAUAUAUAAUUUUCUUUUCGUUUAUAUAAACAUCAUCAUUUCUGAAGGAAAAACCCCAUUUGUUUUCUUAUUUAUUUUUUUUGUUAUUUUCCGUCGAUUUUUUGUUUGUUUCUCAUCUCUCUAAAUAGUUAGUACACAAGUUAAAUUUAAUAUUAUUAUUAUUAUUAUUAUUAAAUUUUACCACAAUAUUUGCUUCAAAUAUUAUCAACGCGGUGUUUGUUCGCUUUUCUUCUAUUUUUUUUUUACGCCGGGGUUCUUACUUGUAUAAUUGGGGAGGGUUGGGGGUUGAUGAACAGGGAAAAAAGGCCUUUUGCCAAGUUUAUAAUCGUAGUGUCAAAUCACAAUAAUUUACGAUCACGAUGAUCCUAAACGACUUCAGUCGGGUGUUAUACAUUUUUGUUGUUUAAUUUUAUUUAUCGAACGAUACCGAUAAUUUCAACAUGGUAAAAGACGAUGUUUAUAGAAUAUUUUUCUUAAGCUCGUGUAUUCAUUUUUUUCUUUUUUUUUUUUUUUUUUAAAUGUGUGUGUAUGUAUAUAAAGCACGACGAUUAGAUUUUUUUUCUCUUGGCAAAAAUAUACAUGGAUGGCAACACUAAAGUUGACAAGCGUAAUGUUUGUUGGUUUUUUUUUCCUUUUUCUUUUCUUUUUUUUUCUUUUUUUUUUUUUCAAUCGAACACAUCAUCCUUCGAAUCUUUUAUAAAUGUUUUUUUUUCCUUUCGUCUACAAUUAUUUAUCAUCAGCCAUUUAAAUUCGAAGAAUUUAUUUAUUGAUUUAUUAUUUACGUACGCGAACGUUCUCUCUCUUCCUUCGAUUAAAAUAAAAUUAAUAAUUAAAUAUACAAACGUCUUUUUAAGUAAAAUAUAUCUGGGACUCUCUUUUCGCACGGUUCUUUUUUUUUCUUUUUUACAAGUUUUAACAAAUUUCUCAAUAAAUAUGAUUUCUUUUUUUCCCCGACAAAUAUUUCGUAUCAAAGACAAUUCGUCGAGAGACACAGGAAUAAUUCUACUUUAUCACAAAUUAAUUUCUUUUUCUUUUUUCUUUCAUCGCGUAAACAGAGUCCUGGGUGUAUUUUUUUUAAUGACGUUGUUGCACUCGCUAUAUCAUCAUAUUUAGGGGAGGGGGGGGGGCGAGUUGUACGUGUGCUCUGGUUAUCACGAACAAAAAAA
Molecule: long non-coding RNA, 3856 nt
Organism: Polistes canadensis
Lineage: Eukaryota; Metazoa; Arthropoda; Insecta; Hymenoptera; Vespidae
Exons: 2
Source: RefSeq, a predicted model, not a curated record